GUCCACGCUGUAAACGAUGGGUGCUAGGUGUGGGCGGUGUCGACUCCGUCCGUGCCGAAGCUAACGCAUUAAGCACCCCGCCUGGUGAGUACGGCCGCAAGGCUAAAACUCAAAGGAAUUGACGGGGGCCCGCACAAGCAGCGGAGCAUGUUGUUUAAUUCGACGCGACGCGAAGAACCUUACCAGGGCUUGACAUGCACGGGAAUGUCGUAGAAAUACGGCAGCCCUUCGGGGCUCGUGCACAGGUGGUGCAUGGCUGUCGU
Molecule: ribosomal RNA, 263 nt
Filed under: uncultured bacterium
Lineage: Bacteria
Description: partial 16S ribosomal RNA
Rfam family: Bacterial small subunit ribosomal RNA
Source: RNAcentral